Molecule: long non-coding RNA, 1090 nt
Filed under: Homo sapiens (human)
Lineage: Eukaryota; Metazoa; Chordata; Mammalia; Primates; Hominidae
Description: PREDICTED lncRNA (TCONS_00206902)
Source: RNAcentral
CAGUCAUGGUCUGGAGUCAAGAAAUGAAGAGGGCAAGCAAUGUUUUUGGCAUCCUGACUACAGUUACAUGCAGUUUGGGGCUGCUGCAAUGGCAACUCAACGGAGAGGUUAGGAACACCAACUCCAGGAUCAGGCAAUCUUUGAAUCCCUGUCACUAGCAGCUUUGUAUAUUGGAGCAAGUUACUUAACAUCUGUCUGCUGGAGUUUGCUGGAGGUUCACUCCAGACCCUAUUUGCCUGGGUAUCACCAGUGGAGGCUGCAGAACAGCAAAGAUUGCUGCCUAUUCCUUCCUCUGGAAGCUUCUUCCUAGAGAGUCACCUGCCAGAUGCCAGCCAGAGCUCCCCGAAAUGAGGUAUUCAGUGACAUCUUUCUAAAUUGUUUAAAAUGAGAAGCAUUGCACACUGAGAGUCAGGAUCCAAGUGUCUUUGACUGAGCCAACUCAGCUCUGCUAUUAACUUAUGGUGUGAUCGCAGGCUGUCUAGAAAAGGACACCAACAAUCACCCAUGAAGAUUGCCCUUCAACCUUUGGGAGGAAAUGAUCGAAAUGGGAGCUAGAGAAGAUUGUUGUUGGAAUCUCAGAGAUUAUAAGCAAUUUCUCCAUGGCUGGAAUUCAGUUGAUCUGGGACUGAACCUAUUUCUAAUGGAGCUGUGACGAGAGACCACAGUAAAUCCAAGCUUGGAAAAUGAGCUGUGUCAGCCCUCCCAAAGACAACCUCCUUGCAACAGGAAGUUGUCAAAGCCCCAGGGACCAGAAACCAUGAAGUUAUUUGGAUGAUAGAUACAGAGAUACGCUGCUCAGAUGCCCCUUUCAAGAAAGAACUUGCUGCCUCUUGCUCAGUUUCUUCCUGGAGCUUUCAAGCAUCUUUGCAGGGAAGUCACAUCCUUCCCAGGGCAGCCCGACUGACCAAGGGAGAAGAAGUUUAACAGAGAUGAGGCAUCCUGGAAUAUCCAGGUGGCAACAUGGAGUAGAGAUGAUGACUACUUCUAGGCCAUGAAAAACCAGCAGGAUCCAUGAUGGCUGAGAAAUGACAAUAUUGGUGAAUUAAGUACAUCUCAGGGAGAAGCCCUAUUAAAUUAGCCUAAUACCUUA